ACCCGCUGAACUUAAGCAUAUCAAUAAGCGGAGGAAAAGAAACCAACAGGGAUUGCCUUAGUAACGGCGAGUGAAGCGGCAAAAGCUCAAAUUUGAAAUCGGCCCCCAGGUCGAGUUGUAAUUUGUAGAUUGUAUCUUGAGAGCGGAUUAAAGUCUGUUGGAACACAGCGCCUUAGAGGGUGACAGCCCCGUAAAAUCUAUUCUCAUUGUAAGAUACUUUCGAAGAGUCGAGUUGUUUGGGAAUGCAGCUCUAAGUGGGAGGUAAAUUCCUUCUAAAGCUAAAUAUUGACGAGAGACCGAUAGCGAACAAGUACUGUGAAGGAAAGAUGAAAAGCACUUUGAAAAGAGAGUGAAAAAGUACGUGAAAUUGUUAAAAGGGAAGGGUAUUGAAUCAGACUUGGUGCUGUUGUUCAACUGUGUUUCGGCAUAGUGUACUCAGCAGUACUAGGCCAAGGUGGGGUGUUUGGGAGUGAAAAAGAAGUUGGAACGUAACUCUUCGGAGUGUUAUAGCCUACUUUCAUAGCUCCUCAGGCGCCUCAGGACUGCGCUUCGGCAAGGACCUUGGCAUAAUGAUUCUAUACCGCCCGUCUUGAAACACGGACCAAGGAG
RNAcentral lists this ribosomal RNA (609 nucleotides) under uncultured fungus. RNAcentral describes it as "eukaryotic LSU rRNA". It matches the Rfam family "Eukaryotic large subunit ribosomal RNA", at positions 23 to 673 of the family's 3401-position model. Lineage: Eukaryota; Fungi. The record is from RNAcentral.